UACGUAGGGGGCUAGCGUUGUCCGGAAUCAUUGGGCGUAAAGCGCGCGUAGGUGGCCACAUAAGUCCGUUGUGAAAGUCAAAGGCUCAACCUUUGAAAGCCGAUGGAUACUGUGUGGCUAGAGUACGGAAGAGGCGAGUGGAAUUCCUGGUGUAGCGGUGGAAUGCGCAGAUAUCAGGAGGAACACCAAUAGCGAAGGCAGCUCGCUGGGACGUUACUGACACUGAGGCGCGAAAGCGUGGGGAGCGAACAGG
Molecule: ribosomal RNA, 253 nt
Filed under: uncultured bacterium
Lineage: Bacteria
Description: partial 16S ribosomal RNA
Rfam family: Bacterial small subunit ribosomal RNA
Source: RNAcentral